AGGACGAACGCUGGCGGCGUGCUUAACACAUGCAAGUCGAGCGGUAAGGCCUCUUCGGGGGUACACGAGCGGCGAACGGGUGAGUAACACGUGGGUGACCUGCCCUCAGCUCUGGGAUAAGCCUGGGAAACUGGGUCUAAUACUGGAUAUGACUGCGCAUCGCAUGGUGUGUGGUGGAAAGUUUUUUCGGCUGGGGAUGGGCCCGCGGCCUAUCAGCUUGUUGGUGGGGUGAUGGCCUACCAAGGCGACGACGGGUA
This 257-nucleotide ribosomal RNA is filed under the name uncultured bacterium. RNAcentral describes it as "partial small subunit ribosomal RNA". It matches the Rfam family "Bacterial small subunit ribosomal RNA", at positions 26 to 285 of the family's 1533-position model. The record is from RNAcentral.